This 861-nucleotide ribosomal RNA is filed under the name uncultured Bacteroidota bacterium. RNAcentral's name for it is "bacterial SSU rRNA". It matches the Rfam family "Bacterial small subunit ribosomal RNA", at positions 14 to 870 of the family's 1533-position model. Lineage: Bacteria; Pseudomonadati; Bacteroidota. The record is from RNAcentral.
CGAUUCUGGCUCAGGAUGAACGCUAGCUACAGGCUUAACACAUGCAAGUCGAGGGGCAGCAUGACGAUAGCUUGCUAUUGUUGAUGGCGACCGGCGCACGGGUGAGUAACGCGUAUCCAACCUGCCCUUGUCCAUCGGAUAACCCGUCGAAAGGCGGCCUAACACGAUAUGCAGUCCACAGAAGGCAUCUGACGCGGACGAAAUGUGAAGGAGAAGGAUGGGGAUGCGUCUGAUUAGCUUGUUGGCGGGGUAACGGCCCACCAAGGCGACGAUCAGUAGGGGUUCUGAGAGGAAGGUCCCCCACAUUGGAACUGAGACACGGUCCAAACUCCUACGGGAGGCAGCAGUGAGGAAUAUUGGUCAAUGGGCGAGAGCCUGAACCAGCCAAGUAGCGUGCAGGAUGACGGCCCUAUGGGUUGUAAACUGCUUUUAUGCGGGGAUAAAGUGAGCCACGUGUGGCUUAUUGCAAGUACCGCAUGAAUAAGGACCGGCUAAUUCCGUGCCAGCAGCCGCGGUAAUACGGAAGGUCCGGGCGUUAUCCGGAUUUAUUGGGUUUAAAGGGAGCGUAGGUCGUCUGAUAAGCGUGUUGUGAAAUGUCGGGGCUCAACCUGGGCAUUGCAGCGCGAACUGUGAGACUUGAGUGCGCGGGAAGUAGGCGGAAUUCGUCGUGUAGCGGUGAAAUGCUUAGGUAUGACGAAGAACUCCGAUUGCGAAGGCAGCCUGCUGUAGCGCAACUGACGCUGAAGCUCGAAAGCGUGGGUAUCGAACAGGAUUAGAUACCCUGGUAGUCCACGCGGUAAACGAUGGAUGCUCGCUGUUUGCGUCUGACGUAAGCGGCCAAGCGAAAGCGUUAAGCAUCCC